CGGCCGGGAACUCAAAGGAGACUGCCAGUGAUAAACUGGAGGAAGGUGGGGAUGACGUCAAGUCAUCAUGGCCCUUACGACCAGGGCUACACACGUGCUACAAUGGCGCAUACAAAGAGAAGCGACCUCGCGAGAGCAAGCGGACCUCAUAAAGUGCGUCGUAGUCCGGAUUGGAGUCUGCAACUCGACUCCAUGAAGUCGGAAUCGCUAGUAAUCGUGGAUCAGAAUGCCACGGUGAAUACGUUCCCGGGCCUUGUACACACCGCCCGUCACACCAUGGGAGUGGGUUGCAAAAGAAGUAGGUAGCUUAACCUUCGGGAGGGCGCUUACCACUUUGUGAUUCAUGACUGGGGUGAAGUCGUAACAAGGUAACCGUAGGGGAACCUGCGGUUGGAUCACCUCCUUA
This 406-nucleotide ribosomal RNA is filed under the name Escherichia coli. Its description in RNAcentral is "bacterial SSU rRNA". It matches the Rfam family "Bacterial small subunit ribosomal RNA", at positions 1128 to 1533 of the family's 1533-position model. The record is from RNAcentral. Lineage: Bacteria; Pseudomonadati; Pseudomonadota; Gammaproteobacteria; Enterobacterales; Enterobacteriaceae. RNAcentral also lists the same sequence under 14 other names.